RNAcentral lists this ribosomal RNA (510 nucleotides) under uncultured bacterium. RNAcentral's name for it is "bacterial SSU rRNA". It matches the Rfam family "Bacterial small subunit ribosomal RNA", at positions 28 to 584 of the family's 1533-position model. The record is from RNAcentral.
AACGAACGCUGGCGGCAUGCCUAACACAUGCAAGUCGAACGAGACCUUCGGGUCUAGUGGCGCACGGGUGCGUAACGCGUGGGAACCUGCCCUUAGGUUCGGAAUAACUCCCGAAAGGGUGCUAAUACCGGAUAAUGUCUUCGGACCAAAGAUUUAUCGCCUUUUGGAUGGGCCCCGCGUUGGAUUAGCUAGUUGGUGAGGUAAAGGCUCACCAAGGCGACGAUCCAUAGCUGGUCUGAGAGGAUGAUCAGCCGCACUGGGGACUGAGACACGGCCCAGACUCCUACGGGAGGCAGCAGUGGGGAAUAUUGGACAAUGGGCGAAGCCUGAUCCAGCAAUGCCGCGUGAGUGAUGAAGGCCUUAGGGUUGUAAAGCUCUUUUACCAGGGAUGAUAAGUGACAGUACCUGGAGAAUAAGCUCCGGCUAACUCCGUGCCAGCAGCCGCGGUAAUACGGAGGAGCUAGCGUUGUUCGGAAUUACUGGGCGUAAAGCGCACGUAGGCGGCUUUUU